UUAUUUUAGGUUGGUGCAAAAGUAGUUGUGGUUUUUGCCAUUACUUUCAAAGGCAGAAACCACAAUUACUUUUGCACCAACCUAAAU
This 87-nucleotide microRNA precursor is filed under the name Chlorocebus sabaeus (green monkey). RNAcentral's name for it is "miRNA (ENSCSAG00000021406.1)". The record is from RNAcentral. Lineage: Eukaryota; Metazoa; Chordata; Mammalia; Primates; Cercopithecidae.